CCCUAGCCCCGAUUGAAGAGAAAAUCCUUUUUUGAAAAAAAAGAUUGUAACGGAAAGCGGGAAAAGCU
Molecule: small RNA, 68 nt
Filed under: Chryseobacterium limigenitum
Lineage: Bacteria; Pseudomonadati; Bacteroidota; Flavobacteriia; Flavobacteriales; Weeksellaceae
Description: Flavo-1 RNA
Rfam family: Flavo-1 RNA
Source: RNAcentral